GGGACAGAGGCAGCCUCUGGGAGCUUGGAUGGGGGUGAGGAAGGGGAGGUGGCCAGUGUACGUAGCUACUUCUCCCUUCCGCCGGGCUCAGGAGAGAAGAGAAGGCUGCAGUACAGGCGAGGGAGGGAGAUGCGUUUUUCCCAGAUGGAGACACUGAAGUCCCUGCACCCAGCACCCAGGCCUCCCUGGCCAGACCCUGAUCCCCACGGAGCCCCUCCCCUCACACAGGUCAUUGACCACAGUGGCGCCCGCCUUGGUGAGUAUGAGGACGUGUCCCGGGUGGAGAAGUACACGAUCUCACAAGAAGCCUACGACCAGAGGCAAGACACGGUCCGCUCUUUCCUGAAGCGCAGCAAGCUCGGCCGGUACAACGAGGAGGAGCGGGCUCAGCAGGAGGCCGAGGCCGCCCAGCGCCUGGCCGAGGAGAAGGCCCAGGCCAGCUCCAUCCCCGUGGGCAGCCGCUGUGAGGUGCGGGCGGCGGGACAAUCCCCUCGCCGGGGCACCGUCAUGUAUGUAGGUCUCACAGAUUUCAAACCUGGCUACUGGAUUGGUGUCCGCUAUGAUGAGCCACUGGGGAAAAAUGAUGGCAGUGUGAAUGGGAAACGCUACUUCGAAUGCCAGGCCAAGUAUGGCGCCUUUGUCAAGCCAGCAGUCGU
RNAcentral lists this small RNA (656 nucleotides) under Pan troglodytes (chimpanzee). RNAcentral's name for it is "retained intron". Lineage: Eukaryota; Metazoa; Chordata; Mammalia; Primates; Hominidae. The record is from RNAcentral.